RNAcentral lists this ribosomal RNA (449 nucleotides) under uncultured bacterium. RNAcentral describes it as "partial 16S ribosomal RNA". It matches the Rfam family "Bacterial small subunit ribosomal RNA", at positions 29 to 523 of the family's 1533-position model. The record is from RNAcentral.
AACGAACGCUGGCGGCAUGCCUAACACAUGCAAGUCGAACGAGAUCUUCGGGUCUAGUGGCGCACGGGUGCGUAACGCGUGGGAAUCUGCCCUUUGGUUCGGAAUAACAGUUGGAAACGACUGCUAAUACCGGAUGAUGACGAAGGUCCAAAGAUUUAUCGCCAGAGGAUGAGCCCGCGUAGGAUUAGCUAGUUGGUGUGGUAAAGGCGCGCCAAGGCGACGAUCCUUAGCUGGUCUGAGAGGAUGAUCAGCCACACUGGGACUGAGACACGGCCCAGACUCCUACGGGAGGCAGCAGUGGGGAAUAUUGGACAAUGGGCGAAAGCCUGGUCCAGCAAUGCCGCGUGAGUGAUGAAGGCCUUAGGGUUGUAAAGCUCUUUUACCCGGGAUGAUAAUGACAGUACCGGGAGAAUAAGCUCCGGCUAACUCCGUGCCAGCAGCCGCAGUAA